GCCCAGACUCCUACGGGAGGCAGCAGUGGGGAAUAUUGCACAAUGGGGGAAACCCUGAUGCAGCGACGCCGCGUGAGCGAUGAAGUAUUUCGGUAUGUAAAGCUCUAUCAGCAGGGAAGAAGAUGACGGUACCUGACUAAGAAGCCCCGGCUAACUACGUGCCAGCAGCCGCGGUAAUACGUAGGGGGCAAGCGUUAUCCGGAUUUACUGGGUGUAAAGGGAGCGUAGACGGCGAUGCAAGCCAGAUGUGAAAGCCCGGGGCUCAACCCCGGGACUGCAUUUGGAACUGUGUGGCUGGAGUGUCGGAGAGGCAGGCGGAAUUCCUAGUGUAGCGGUGAAAUGCGUAGAUAUUAGGAGGAACACCAGUGGCGAAGGCGGCCUGCUGGACGAUGACUGACGUUGAGGCUCGAAAGCGUGGGGAGCAAACAGGAUUAGAUACCCCCGUAUA
Molecule: ribosomal RNA, 448 nt
Filed under: uncultured bacterium
Lineage: Bacteria
Description: bacterial SSU rRNA
Rfam family: Bacterial small subunit ribosomal RNA
Source: RNAcentral